UAGGGAAUCUUCCACAAUGGACGCAAGUCUGAUGGAGCAACGCCGCGUGAGUGGAGAAGGUUUUCGGACCGUAAAGCUCUGUUGUUGGUGAAGAAGGAUAGAGGUAGUAACUGGCCUUUAUUUGACGGUAAUCAACCAGAAAGUCACGGCUAACUACGUGCCAGCAGCCGCGGUAAUACGUAGGUGGCAAGCGUUGUCCGGAUUUAUUGGGCGUAAAGCGAGCGCAGGCGGAAGAAUAAGUCUGAUGUGAAAGCCCUCGGCUUAACCGAGGAAUUGCAUCGGAAACUGUUUUCUUGAGUGCAGAAGAGGAGAGUAGAACUCCAUGUGUGGCGGUGGAAUGCGUAGAUAUAUGGAAGAAUACCAGUGGCGAAGGCGGCUCUCUGGUCUGCAACUGACGCUGAGGCUCGAAAGCAUGGGUAGCGAACAGGAUUAGAUACCCUGGUAGUCCAUGCCGUAAACGAUGAGUGCUAAGUGUUGGGAGGCUUCCGCCUCUCAGUGCUGCAGCUAACGCAUUAAGCACUCCGCCUGGGGAGUACGACCGCAAGGUUGAAAC
Molecule: ribosomal RNA, 553 nt
Filed under: uncultured bacterium
Lineage: Bacteria
Description: partial 16S ribosomal RNA
Rfam family: Bacterial small subunit ribosomal RNA
Source: RNAcentral